AUUAUGAUCCGUUCGCAAGUCUCACCGCAGAAGCCCAAAGUCAGCAAAAGUGCUUUUAAACUGUAAAAACUUGGACAGUGAGUCAAUAACGAACUCUCUCCUCCUCCUCCAAAGCUUCAAACUUUCAGCUCGUCUCCGUGGAGUUGAAAUCUCCAGUCCAGCUCAAGAUCUAGGGGUUCUUUCAGUCAUGGAGGAGAAGGUAGUCGCUGUAAUCAUGGUGGGCGGGCCCACCAAAGGCACUAGAUUCCGGCCUCUUUCAUUCAACACUCCGAAACCGCUUUUCCCAUUGGCCGGGCAGGCCAUGGUGCACCACCCCAUUUCAGCUUGUAAAAAGAUACCUAAUUUAGCUCAAAUCUAUUUGGUUGGAUUCUAUGAAGAGAAAGAAUUCGCACUGUAUGUGUCUUCCAUUUCCAAUGAGCUCAAAGUGCCAGUGAGGUACUUGAGAGAGGACAAGCCUCACGGUUCCGCCGGCGGACUUUAUUACUACAGAGAUAUCAUCAUGGAAGACAGCCCGUCUCAUAUCUUUUUGUUGAAUUGUGAUGUUUGCUGCAGUUUUCCACUUGUAGACAUGCUUGAGGCUCAUAAAAGAUAUAAGGGAACAGGUACAAUGUUAGUAAUUAAGGUUUCUGCAGAAUCUGCGAACCAGUUUGGGGAGUUGGUUGCUGAUCCUGCCACCAAAGAACUAUUGCAUUAUACUGAGAAGCCAGAGACUUUUGUGAGCGAUUUGAUCAACUGUGGUGUAUAUGUAUUUACUCCAGAUAUUUUUACUGCCAUUCAAGAAGUCUCCAGUCACCGAGAAGGCAGAGCUAAUUUGCGUCGUGUUUCCAGCUUUGAAGCCCUCCAGUCUGCAACAAGGACUCUUCCCACAGAUUUUGUUAGAUUGGAUCAAGAUAUUUUGUCACCUCUUGCUGGAAAGAAUAAACUGUAUACAUAUGAGACCAUGGAUUUUUGGGAACAGAUCAAGACUCCAGGAAUGUCUUUGAAAUGUUCGGGUUUGUAUCUUUCUCAAUUCCGAAUUAACUCCGAACAUCAUUUAGCUAGUGGAGAUGGUACCAAGAAUGCUAGAAUUGUUGGUGAUGUUUAUGUUCAUCCAUCGGCAAAAGUACAUCCAACUUGUAAGAUUGGUCCCGAUGUGUCUCUUUCAGCAAAUGUUCGUGUAGGUGCAGGAGUAAGGCUUAUAAAUUGCAUUAUCUUGGACGACGUGGAAAUCAAGGAAAAUGCAGUUGUUAUAAAUGCUAUUGUUGGAUGGAAGUCGUGUAUUGGAAAAUGGUCGCGUGUCCAGGCUGACGGAGACUACAACGCAAAGCUUGGAAUUACCAUCCUUGGAGAAGAGGUGACAGUUGAAGACGAAGUUGUGGUGAUCAACAGCAUCGUUCUCCCAAAUAAGACUCUUAACGUUAGCGUACAGGAGGAAAUCAUUUUAUAAUCUCCAAGAGAGAGCUUGCUUCCUGGUUUUCGGUUGCUGCUCGUGUUCAUGCUGGCUUGAUACGAGCAUGUUACCCGUACAAGUAAUAUGCAUGUUGGUUCGAAUCAGAGGAAAUUUGGAUUGCCAAGAAGCCAGAGGAGUUAUCGGUACAGCCACCCCCAAGAUCUUUCGCCCCCUUAGCUGCUCCCUUACCAUGUGAUCUGCAUAUUGUAAGUUUUAAGGUUCACCAACCUCUAGAAUACACUCAGCAACCUCUCGAAGAUUCUAGGUUUGCCCAAAUCUUGCAGAGACAGAACUGGGACUCUUCAUAUAGUCGGAAGGGCAGAUCAGGUGCACUAGGUUUGCUGAUGAGGCUGUGAAUCUCUCUUACAUGUUCAAGGACCUUGCAGUAUUGAAUGCAAGAGCUACUUCCUUAAAUCUUUUACACGAGGACACUGAUAUGCUUGGAUAUACUGAGCAAUUCGGAGACAUUGCUCAAGACAGGCACGUUCUUAUGUCUCCAAUGGAAAUGCAGGCUUACAAGUUGGAAUUGCGGCCGCGGAAAUGAAUGUACUUGAAACAGAUUUUCUUACUGUAUUUUCAUGGUUGUUUUUUCAACAGGGUUCUUAGCUAAACGCAAUGAUGUGUCCUUAUCUCUCCCGUGGAAAUGCAGGCUUACAAGUUCAAGUUAGGACCACACGGGCUAAGGUACUAGCGACCGAUUUCAUUACUGCAUUCUCAUGGAAGCUUCUUCAAUGGGAACCAUAUAUCUGUUGCCAAGUCAGGGCAAAGACGAUUCGUACGAGUAGCGAUACAGUCAAAGCAACCAUCCCUGGUUUCCCUUGCGAGCGAGUCGACUGAUAGACUUUCCCUUGGGAUUCACUUUGUUGUAAAACUGCUGCUAACAAUUAUGCAUGAGAUUAGUAUUUGUGCUGCUAACGAUUGAUAGACUAGUAUUUGUGUGUUCAAAAUGAUAUUGAGGCUAAGGACUCGUUUGGAAGUGUUUAAAAGCC
RNA transcript from Pyrus x bretschneideri (Chinese white pear), 2418 nucleotides. It is a transcript of the gene named mannose-1-phosphate guanyltransferase alpha-like, with no coding region annotated. The transcript is spliced from 15 exons. Lineage: Eukaryota; Viridiplantae; Streptophyta; Magnoliopsida; Rosales; Rosaceae. The record is from RefSeq and is a predicted model, not a curated record.